This 424-nucleotide ribosomal RNA is filed under the name uncultured bacterium. RNAcentral describes it as "bacterial SSU rRNA". It matches the Rfam family "Bacterial small subunit ribosomal RNA", at positions 356 to 773 of the family's 1533-position model. The record is from RNAcentral.
AGGGAAUCUUCCGUAAUGGACGAAAGUCUGACGGAGCAACGCCGCGUGAGUGAUGAAGGUUUUCGGAUCGUAAAGCUCUGUUGCCAGGGAAGAACGUCUUGGAGAGUAACUGCUCUAAGAGUGACGGUACCUGAGAAGAAAGCCCCGGCUAACUACGUGCCAGCAGCCGCGGUAAUACGUAGGGGGCGAGCGUUGUCCGGAAUUAUUGGGCGUAAAGCGCGCGCAGGCGGCUGUUUAAGUCUGGUGUUUAAUCCUGGGGCUCAACCCUAGGUCGCACUGGAAACUGGGCAGCUUGAGUGCAGAAGAGGAGAGUGGAAUUCCACGUGUAGCGGUGAAAUGCGUAGAGAUGUGGAGGAACACCAGUGGCGAAGGCGACUCUCUGGGCUGUAACUGACGCUGAGGCGCGAAAGCGUGGGGAGCAAAC